Molecule: ribosomal RNA, 730 nt
Filed under: uncultured Serratia sp.
Lineage: Bacteria; Pseudomonadati; Pseudomonadota; Gammaproteobacteria; Enterobacterales; Yersiniaceae
Description: bacterial SSU rRNA
Rfam family: Bacterial small subunit ribosomal RNA
Source: RNAcentral
AACAGGAUUAGAUACCCUGGUAGUCCACGCUGUAAACGAUGUCGAUUUGGAGGUUGUGCCCUUGAGGCGUGGCUUCCGGAGCUAACGCGUUAAAUCGACCGCCUGGGGAGUACGGCCGCAAGGUUAAAACUCAAAUGAAUUGACGGGGGCCCGCACAAGCGGUGGAGCAUGUGGUUUAAUUCGAUGCAACGCGAAGAACCUUACCUACUCUUGACAUCCAGAGAACUUUCCAGAGAUGGAUUGGUGCCUUCGGGAACUCUGAGACAGGUGCUGCAUGGCUGUCGUCAGCUCGUGUUGUGAAAUGUUGGGUUAAGUCCCGCAACGAGCGCAACCCUUAUCCUUUGUUGCCAGCGGUUCGGCCGGGAACUCAAAGGAGACUGCCAGUGAUAAACUGGAGGAAGGUGGGGAUGACGUCAAGUCAUCAUGGCCCUUACGAGUAGGGCUACACACGUGCUACAAUGGCGUAUACAAAGAGAAGCGACCUCGCGAGAGCAAGCGGACCUCAUAAAGUACGUCGUAGUCCGGAUUGGAGUCUGCAACUCGACUCCAUGAAGUCGGAAUCGCUAGUAAUCGUAGAUCAGAAUGCUACGGUGAAUACGUUCCCGGGCCUUGUACACACCGCCCGUCACACCAUGGGAGUGGGUUGCAAAAGAAGUAGGUAGCUUAACCUUCGGGAGGGCGCUUACCACUUUGUGAUUCAUGACUGGGGUGAAGUCGUAACAAGGUAGCC